RNAcentral lists this ribosomal RNA (474 nucleotides) under uncultured bacterium. RNAcentral describes it as "SSU rRNA". It matches the Rfam family "Bacterial small subunit ribosomal RNA", at positions 26 to 518 of the family's 1533-position model. The record is from RNAcentral.
AGGACGAACGCUGGCGGCGUGCUUAACACAUGCAAGUCGAGCGGAAAGGCCCUUCGGGGUACUCGAGCGGCGAACGGGUGAGUAACACGUGAGUAAUCUGCCCCUAGCUCUGGGAUAGCUCCGGGAAACCGGGAUUAAUACCAGAUACGACCACUUUAGACAUCUGCUGUGGUGGAAAGAAUUUCGGCUAGGGAUGAGCUCGCGGCCUAUCAGCUUGUUGGUGAGGUAACGGCUCACCAAGGCGACGACGGGUAGCCGGCCUGAGAGGGCGACCGGCCACACUGGGACUGAGACACGGCCCAGACUCCUACGGGAGGCAGCAGUGGGGAAUAUUGCGCAAUGGGCGAAAGCCUGACGCAGCGACGCCGCGUGGGGGAUGAAGGCCUUCGGGUUGUAAACCCCUUUCAGCAGGGACGAAGCGAAAGUGACGGUACCUGCAGAAGAAGCGCCGGCUAACUACGUGCCAGCAGCCGC